This 464-nucleotide ribosomal RNA is filed under the name uncultured bacterium. RNAcentral describes it as "partial 16S ribosomal RNA". It matches the Rfam family "Bacterial small subunit ribosomal RNA", at positions 29 to 507 of the family's 1533-position model. The record is from RNAcentral.
ACGAACGCUGGCGGCGUGCUUAACACAUGCAAGUCGAACGGAAAGGCCCCUUUGGGGGUACUCGAGUGGCGAACGGGGGAGUAACACGUGAGUAACCUGCCCUUGACUUCGGGAUAACUGCAGAAAACUGGGGCUAAUACCGGAUAGGAAUCCUUGCUGCAUGGUGGGGGGUGGAAAGCUUCGGCGGUUUUGGGUGGACUCGCGGCGUAUCAGCUGGGUGGUGGGGUAGUGGCUUACCAAGCAUUUGACGGGUAGCCGGCCUGGGGGGGCGACCGGCCACGUUGGGACUGAGAUACGGCCCAGACUCCUACGGGAGGCAGCAGUGGGGAAUAUUGCACAAUGGGCGGAAGCCUGAUGCAGCAACGCCGCGUGCGGGAUGACGGCCUUCGGGUUGUAAACCGCUUUCAGCAGGGGCGAAGCUUGUGGUGACGGUACCUGCAGAAGAAGCACCGGCUAACUACGUG